This 253-nucleotide ribosomal RNA is filed under the name uncultured bacterium. Its description in RNAcentral is "partial 16S ribosomal RNA". It matches the Rfam family "Bacterial small subunit ribosomal RNA", at positions 524 to 776 of the family's 1533-position model. The record is from RNAcentral.
UACGAAGGGGGCUAGCGUUGCUCGGAAUUACUGGGCGUAAAGCGCACGUAGGCGGAUCUUUAAGUCAGGGGUGAAAUCCUGGAGCUCAACUCCAGAACUGCCUUUGAUACUGGGGAUCUCGAGUCCGGGAGAGGUGAGUGGAACUCCGAGUGUAGAGGUGAAAUUCGUAGAUAUUCGGAAGAACACCAGUGGCGAAGGCGGCUCACUGGCCCGGUACUGACGCUGAGGUGCGAAAGCGUGGGGAGCAAACAGG